UCCGUGCAUUGGGGACCACAAUUUGCGGCCCCCCAAUGCACGGGCACUAUCUGUGCGGCUGCCGCGACGGAUCCAGACCCGUUCAACUUAAAUGGGUCCAUGAUCCGUCCGCAGCGCAAAAAAAUAGAACAUUCCAUGUGCUUCCAU
Bufo bufo (common toad) is the source of this 147-nucleotide long non-coding RNA. RefSeq lists it as uncharacterized. The transcript has 3 exons. The record is from RefSeq and is a predicted model, not a curated record. Lineage: Eukaryota; Metazoa; Chordata; Amphibia; Anura; Bufonidae.